UCCUUAGUGGUCCAAUGGCUAAGACUCUUCCCUCCCAAUGCAGGGGUCCCAGGUUCAAACCCUGGUCAAGGAA
RNAcentral lists this transfer RNA (73 nucleotides) under Bos taurus (domestic cattle). It matches the Rfam family "tRNA". From Rfam's summary of the family: Transfer RNA (tRNA) molecules are approximately 80 nucleotides in length. Their secondary structure includes four short double-helical elements and three loops (D, anti-codon, and T loops). RNAcentral also lists the same sequence under 1 other name. The record is from Rfam by way of RNAcentral. Lineage: Eukaryota; Metazoa; Chordata; Mammalia; Artiodactyla; Bovidae.